AACGGUUUUAUUAUUUUAUAUUUAAAUAUUUAUAAAAUGUUCAACUUUAUAUAUUAUCUGUAUAGUCCGUGAUACAAUGUGACUGGUAAGAGAUAAUCUGUUAGUGAUAUCACAGAAUAACCUUCUACAUUUAACAUGCUCAAUUUUCUUAUGGGGUAUAGAUUUGCCAAACCUGCUGAGAUAUCAGUAUAGACUGUAUAGCAUGUGACGGUAAAAUAAAUAUUCUCUCCUCUAUGGUUACUCUAUGCUUAUCCCAUGAAUACAAAUAAUUAUCCCGUAAAAAAUACGUAAAGCCAUACUUCAACCGUUUCCUGUGCAAGUAUGAAAAAAGAUUGAGCUUAAAGGCAUGGUGUAUUUUUUGACAGUAUUGUCUGCGUCUGAAUAUAGAAAGGUAAUUUGAAUACUUAAUAUUAUUUAAUGGGAAGGUUUGGUCAUUACUCAUUUUUGGAUUCUUGGGAAAUUUCUUAUAUAAAACUGUUCGCGCCAAGUGCAGCGCGAUAGUUUGGCAAGACUGCAUAUGUUGUCCCACUGUCAGCAAUAUUUCAGCUUGCGAUAGUGUUUCUCUUAUCAAGCUGAUAGUGGACGGCCUGUGACUGCGUCAGUCCGUUAUUAUUUUCUAAAUUUGUUAUAUUCGUAGUUUUUAUUUUAUUAUGGUUUUGUCCGCUGAUUUUCUAUUUUUAUUGUUUAAUUCUUUCUUUAUAAUCUCUGUUGUGCGUCAGUGUCAUCAGUUAUUGUGUUAAAUUUAUUAUUUUUUUUGUAUCUCGACGACACUGUCCACAGCAAAGGUUAUAAAAGGCUGGACGCACCAGCUCCGAUUGCCAUUUUUUUUUGUUAUUCAUUAUUCCUCGGUCCAUAGACAUUUUUGUUUCGUUUUUUCUAUGCAUUAGUGAAAGCACAUGUGCCAAGUCGGUUCUUUCACUUCGGUUUUUUAUUGAAUUCAAGUUUUAUUGUUGGUAACGUAUUGUUCCUAAAAGGCAUUAUAUGCACAAUUACUAUAUUAUACUUUUCUCAGCAGGGUGGUCAUAUUUGGUCUACAUUUUGUUUGUGGUGCUUGUCCUGUGUUAUAUUCGUAAGUGGUUACUUCAAAGCUGUCGCGUGGGAUAAAAUCCACCGCCUAAGGUAACCACCUAUGUUGUGGCUGUUGAACACAACCCAGGUUGUCAAUGAAAGACAUGUGUGCUAAAGUUUCAAAAGUAACAUAUAUACGAGCCGAUGGCAAAGAUGAUACUAUUCACUUUUUAAUUGAUGUCACAAGGACUCCAUCGCUGGCCUUUGUAAAAACAAGCAAAGAUGCUGUCAUUCAAGCAAAAUAUACUGGUUUUUUAUAUGACAGUAAAAUAGAAUUUACAAAGCUCCCCCUGUACACUUUUUCAACAGUAUGCAAUAAAAAUGCAUCAUACAGAGAAAAUAUCAGCGAACGCCUGAGAUCAGAAGAUUUUGAUGUCGAGGUACCUAUUUAAUUCGUUGACAUUUAGACAAAACGAUGGGAUUUAACGAUAAAGACGCCUUUUGAAGAUAAGUCAAAGGAACUUUGGAUCAUUUCACACUAAAAGGUCGCUAACAUCGAGAAUGUACCAAUAGAAGACAGAUGGAAGUUCAGUGAAGCUACUGUCAGAUUAUACAUGUGUGACGAAUGAAAAGACCAAAC
This 1648-nucleotide long non-coding RNA is filed under the name Acyrthosiphon pisum (pea aphid). Its description in RNAcentral is "uncharacterized LOC103308281". The record is from RNAcentral. Lineage: Eukaryota; Metazoa; Arthropoda; Insecta; Hemiptera; Aphididae.